This 73-nucleotide transfer RNA is filed under the name Microcaldota archaeon. RNAcentral's name for it is "Candidatus Micrarchaeota archaeon (hot springs metagenome) tRNA-Asn". It matches the Rfam family "tRNA". Rfam says of the family: Transfer RNA (tRNA) molecules are approximately 80 nucleotides in length. Their secondary structure includes four short double-helical elements and three loops (D, anti-codon, and T loops). Lineage: Archaea; Nanobdellati; Microcaldota. The record is from RNAcentral. RNAcentral also lists the same sequence under 1 other name.
GCCCGAGUAGCUCAGCUGGUGGAGCGUCCGACUGUUAAUCGGAAGGUCACAGGUUCAAAUCCUGUCUCGGGCG